ACGAACGCUGGCGGCAUGCCUUACACAUGCAGGUCGAACGGUAGAGGGGCAACCCUUGAGAGUGGCGAACGGGUGAGUAAUAUAUCGGAACGUGCCCAGUCGUGGGGGAUAACGCAGCGAAAGCUGCGCUAAUACCGCAUACGAUCUAUGGAUGAAAGCGGGGGAUCGCAAGACCUCGCGCGAUUGGAGCGGCCGAUAUCAGAUUAGGUAGUUGGUGGGGUAAAAGCCCACCAAGCCGACGAUCUGUAGCUG
Molecule: ribosomal RNA, 252 nt
Filed under: uncultured bacterium
Lineage: Bacteria
Description: partial 16S ribosomal RNA
Rfam family: Bacterial small subunit ribosomal RNA
Source: RNAcentral